UACAGAGGUGGCAAGCGUUGUUCGGAAUUACUGGGCGUAAAGGGCGCGUAGGCGGCCAUCUAAGUCAGACGUGAAAUCCCUGGGCUCAACCCAGGAACUGCGUCCGAUACUGGUUGGCUUGAAUCCGGGAGAGGGAUGUGGAAUUCCAGGUGUAGCGGUGAAAUGCGUAGAUAUCUGGAGGAACACCGGUGGCGAAGGCGACAUCCUGGACCGGUAUUGACGCUGAGGCGCGAAAGCCAGGGGAGCAAACGGG
RNAcentral lists this ribosomal RNA (253 nucleotides) under uncultured bacterium. RNAcentral describes it as "partial 16S ribosomal RNA". It matches the Rfam family "Bacterial small subunit ribosomal RNA", at positions 524 to 776 of the family's 1533-position model. The record is from RNAcentral.